GGCCGCCUGGCGAAAUGGCAUCGCGUCUGACUACGAUUUGCGGGUAAUCAGGAGAUUGCAGGUUCGACCCCUGCGGUGGUCA
This 82-nucleotide transfer RNA is filed under the name Rhodocollybia butyracea. It matches the Rfam family "tRNA". From Rfam's summary of the family: Transfer RNA (tRNA) molecules are approximately 80 nucleotides in length. Their secondary structure includes four short double-helical elements and three loops (D, anti-codon, and T loops). Lineage: Eukaryota; Fungi; Basidiomycota; Agaricomycetes; Agaricales; Omphalotaceae. The record is from Rfam by way of RNAcentral.